AAAAUACGCCGCUUUAAAGCUGCAUAGUCAAUUGUGAUUUUUUUUUGGGAGAUAUACAUGUCAUUAAAUGCUGAAGCCAAGCAGAAGGUCGUUAAUGACUUUCAGCGUUCCGAA
This is a regulatory RNA element of 114 nucleotides. It matches the Rfam family "Ribosomal S15 leader". Rfam says of the family: The E. coli Ribosomal S15 gene 5' UTR can form two alternative structures. One that is a series of three hairpins, The other includes a pseudoknot. The record is from Rfam.